RNAcentral lists this unclassified non-coding RNA (395 nucleotides) under fungal sp. Its description in RNAcentral is "partial internal transcribed spacer region". The stretch from base 1 to 46 matches the Rfam family "Eukaryotic small subunit ribosomal RNA", at positions 1786 to 1831 of the family's 1831-position model. The record is from RNAcentral. Lineage: Eukaryota; Fungi.
AAGUCGUAACAAGGUUUCCGUAGGUGAACCUGCGGAAGGAUCAUUAACACGUUAUCCACGUAUCUACCUAGGAGAACAGUUUUCACCCCUCUCUCUCGAAGAAUGAAUUGGCUAGCUUGCUUAGAGUCGUUGGAUGGGAUGCUUGCGUCAGACUCUACUCGUGACCUAUACAGAAGCUUCGGCCCUGUAUUAACAAUUGUAUCUCUCGGGAGACAAAGUCCAUCGAUAUUUGCUUCCAGUCCAUAGUGCCGUCGAUGGGCGCCUAUUUUACCAAUUUCACCCCCUUUUUGCUAGUUGACUUUUAUAUGUUGUACAUUGUGUUUCGGCACGUGUGCACACGUUUAAUUAUUUGAACGUUAAAAUUACAACUCUUAGCAAUGGAUAUCUUGGUUCUC